GACGAACGCUGGCGGCGUGCUUAACACAUGCAAGUCGAACGGUAAGGCCCUUCGGGUACGACGAGUGGCGAACGGGUGAGUAACACGUGGGUGAUCUGCCCUGCACUUCGGGAUAAGCUUGGGAAACUGGGUCUAAUACCGGAUAGGACCACGGUCUGCAUGGAUUGUGGUGGAAAGCUUUUGCGGUGUGGGAUGGGCCCGCGGCCUAUCAGCUUGUUGGUGGGGUGAUGGCCUACCAAGGCGACGACGGGUAGCCGGCCUGAGAGGGUGUCCGGCCACACUGGGACUGAGAUACGGCCCAGACUCCUACGGGAGGCAGCAGUGGGGGAAUAUUGCACAAUGGGCGCAAGCCUGAUGCAGCGACGCCGCGU
This 371-nucleotide ribosomal RNA is filed under the name uncultured bacterium. Its description in RNAcentral is "bacterial SSU rRNA". It matches the Rfam family "Bacterial small subunit ribosomal RNA", at positions 28 to 402 of the family's 1533-position model. The record is from RNAcentral.